CCUACGGGAGACAGCAGUGGGGAAUAUUGCACAAUGGGGGAAACCCUGAUGCAGCGACGCCGCGUGAGUGAAGAAGUAUUUCGGUAUGUAAAGCUCUAUCAGCAGGGAAGAAAAUGACGGUACCUGAUUAAGAAGCCCCGGCUAACUACGUGCCAGCAGCCGCGGUCAUACGUAGGGGGCAAGCGUUAUCCGGAUUUACUGGGUGUAAAGGGAGCGUAGACGGCAGCACAAGUCUGGAGUGAAAUGCCGGGGCUUAACCCCGGAACUGCUUUGGAAACUGUGCAGCUAGAGUGCAGGAGAGGUAAGUGGAAUUCCUAGUGUAGCGGUGAAAUGCGUAGAUAUUAGGAGGAACACCAGUGGCGAAGGCGGCUUACUGGACUGUAACUGACGUUGAGGCUCGAAAGCGUGGGGAGCAAACAGGAUUAGAUACCCCAGUAGUC
Molecule: ribosomal RNA, 440 nt
Filed under: uncultured bacterium
Lineage: Bacteria
Description: partial 16S ribosomal RNA
Rfam family: Bacterial small subunit ribosomal RNA
Source: RNAcentral